Molecule: small RNA, 28 nt
Filed under: Bombyx mori (domestic silkworm)
Lineage: Eukaryota; Metazoa; Arthropoda; Insecta; Lepidoptera; Bombycidae
Description: ovarian small RNA-30430
Source: RNAcentral
UGAAACGACAGGGCCUGUUGGAGCCCUU